Long non-coding RNA from Haliotis rubra (blacklip abalone), 5771 nucleotides. RefSeq lists it as uncharacterized. The transcript is spliced from 2 exons. The record is from RefSeq and is a predicted model, not a curated record. Lineage: Eukaryota; Metazoa; Mollusca; Gastropoda; Lepetellida; Haliotidae.
AGCCAAGACUAUGGGAUGCAAAGAUGAACAGCUUCAUGCUUUUCUAGGCUGAGCUAUGCCAUCAGAAUAUGUUUCUAAUGAUAUCCUCAAGUCGUUCCUCAUAGUUUUAUCUUUGUGUAACUUGAAAUAGGUUGAGGACUCACACUGGUCCUUUAUGAAUACAAGGAACUUUCACUUUAACAUAUUCUAAAUAGUCCCCAGAAAGCAGAAUACCCAGAAAGGGUGUUUCCAGUACCUGCUUUAGGCCCCACUUGUGAGAUUCUAGCAGAUGACUGUUUGAUUCAAAGAAAUUUACAUGACAGAUAUUAGAAGCAUGUUCAUUUGAAGCUUAAUCUAUUCAUUACAAUUGAGUUGUCUCUUGAGGAAGCUGUCCAAAAACGAAAUGAAUCCUGUCCAGAUAUGUAUGAAGAUCAGCUGUUGAUUCCCUUUGCCAAAUCCAGAAGAAUGUCAAGAUGCUUGUAUUGGCAUCAGUACCUAAAUCAGAAGAAUAUGUCCUACAAGUUUACAGCAUGAUGUCAAACACUGUCAGUGUGACUCCUGAAGAACUCUACAUCACUUGAUGUACUACCACAUGAGUGUUAGAAAAAAUUCAAUUUGCAUCAUCAACGACCCUAUGUACAUCGCCCUAGGUGACCUAUGUCAUCACAAUAUCCUGAAGUGUUUCCAAAACUUUUCAAUUUUGCAUUUCCCUCUUUGUUCCCGUGACCGUGUCCUGAAAACAUCUGCUCUGGAAUUCCCGAAGUGAAGAAGUGUGUCAGUCAAUUGGUGAUCACUUUCACUCCUGCUGGUUUAACCUCUGAGGACAUGGCAUACAAUCUUUCAACAUGCGUGGAACAACUUUCUAAUUAUUACUUGACAGUUUGGUAUUGCUGUUGUAUAGCAUUUUGAGUAUUUAUCAACAUUUUCAAAUUUUGUACUAUUUGUACCAUUACAAGGGUACAUGAUGUACCCUACCGUUGCUAGAUGUCUGACUUUGUCCUACUCUACUGUGAUAAUUGCACUAUGAUGUCAACCUGUUGUUUUCUUGUACAAAGUCAGACACAUUUGUUUGCAUUAGGCCCAAACUCAUUAUCCCCUUUUGUCCCCCAAAAUGUUCUUGUCUGAAGUCUUUGUCCCUUUAGAGAGAAGCGACUGACUCGGGCUUGAAUCUGCUUAGCCUAAGGUGAACUCACCACUUAUUGUAGUUGAGUAUAACCUUGACAUUACCAUUAUAGAUCUCAUUGUGACAGACCUUCUCCCACCCCACUGUGCCCAGACAGGUGCCCCAUGUAGACUAAGCAUUGUGACAGACCUUCUCCCACCCCACUGUGCCCAGACAGGUGCCCCAUGUAGACUUAGCAUUGUGACAGACCUUCUCCCACCCCACUGUGCCCAGACGGGUGCCCCAUGUAGAAUAAGCAUUGUGACAGACCUUCUCCCACCCCACUGUGCCCAGACAGGUGCCCCAUGUAGACUAAGCAUUGUGACAGACCUUCUCCCACCCCACUGUGCCCAGACAGGUGCCCCAUGUAGACUAAGCAUUGUGACAGACCUUCUCCCACCCCAGCUGUGCCCAGACGGGUGCCCCAUGUAGACUAAGCAUUGUGACAGACCUUCUCCCACCCCGCUGUGCCCAGACAGGUGCCCCAUGUAGACUAAGCAUUGUGACAGACCUUCUCCCACCCCACUGUGCCCAGACAGGUGCCCCAUGCAGACUUAGCAUUGUGACAGAAGCGUCAUGAUCGCAUUGUAAUUCGUAAGUAAUUAAAAAGAUAAGCACUUCAAGUGUUGUGCUAUCCCUUGUAUUUUAAAUGAAAAAUAGUAUGAAUCUUUGUCGAAAUUAUGUUUUUGUCAACAUCAUCACCCCCUUUAUAUGUCUCAAGCUGGUUACUUUGCGUCAUCAACGAAGCUCAGAUUGACAUUCAGUAUCAGGGAGACUUCCUUUAACCACUGACUAAUUUAUGAUGACUGCAUUGACUUUGGUUUGUGGUGGGAUAGGUAGUUCACUCUAAUUGAAAUUACCCACCUUGCACUUUCAUUUUAUUUCAUGAAGCAGAGUUACCUCCCUUCUUGGAGUAGUGAUAAUACUGGUUUUGUCAAGAGCAGGCUAACCUGACUUCCUACAGUGCCAGUCACCGCUUCUACAACAGCAGAUACAGGGAAACCAGGCUAUCUUAAUUUCAUUGAUUGUCCUUUAGACAAUGCACUGUGGAUGCCUGUCAGUCCAGAUGGGACGGUUCUCAAUGAAAUCCUCCAGAUUAACGAUUUUCCAGAUUUCCAGAUGUAACUGAUCCCUGGGUACAUAGUGAUGUUCUUUUAAGUGUGUACACACGUUCUCAUUGGGAAUUGCCCAGAGUACAGGGUUUGUGGAUUAACAAGGUUACACUGUACAUUCAUGGUCCAACAGAAUCUGUCAUGCAUGUCUUAUACUGACCUAUUUAUAGUGUCAUGAACUAUGGAAUAACACAACAUAUGUUUUAUGUGUUUAAUUGCAGGUUUUGAAAUGAUAUCUACUAAUGUGAGAGUCGUCAGUAAGGAUAGUUUACGAACUGGUUAAAUUUUACUUUCUGAAUAAAGGUUUCAGUAAUGGCCUGUUAUAUUUAAUCUUCUAAGUUUCACAACUAAAUGCAAAACUUUAUGCAAGGGAAGUAACUCUUGCAGUCAUAGCACUCAGAAUGCUUGCCUUGCCUGGACACUGAAUGAGUGACCUCCCUUUGACUCCUUAUCCCCCCCAGCGAUUACCAAUGAGCUUUGUCCGUCCAUCACUUUUCCAUUCAAGAUCUCAAAAGCAUAUUUUCAUGAAACCAUUUGUACACAGCCUUUCUCAUGAGACACAGUCCUGAGUGAGACCCUUUCAGGAGCACACCUUAAAAAACAUCCAAGUAUUUUCCAUGCAAGUGUCUGCACAGCAGUGUAAGAAAAAGGCACCUGCCUGCUCACCCUUAGCUAGCAAAAAUCUGUUUGUGGUAAAAGUCCAACUGACUAUUUCACUUUCAACUGUGAACUUUUCAAAUGCAGUUCUCCGGUUUCUGUAGAGGAAUGCAAACUUUAAAAGUCCAAAAUCAAACUAGUGUCUGUAACAAAUUGGGUUUACAUUGUUACCCAUAAUAUUUGCAAUUUUUGUUUUAAAAAAUUAAUACCUUUGCAGAAUCAACUUCCAGCAAAAAAUUUGGAACUGACUCUUAAGGCUCAUUUGCACACCUUGCUAGGAGUAUUUUGAGACAAUUUCACUCGAUGUCGCAACAGAUAUUGAUCAAUGGGUCUUCUGCUUAUUUGCAUAAAGAUUAUAAAAUUGGUGAUGUGUUUUUUAAAAUAGAUCAAUUGCUGCUGAAAGGGUCUGUUUGUCUCUGUAGAAGCCUGCUUCCUGUAAUUAUAGGGGUGGUGGGCUAGCCUAGUGGUUAAAGUGUUUGCUCAUCACACUGAAGACCCAGGUUCGAUUCCCCACUUGGGUACAAUGUGUGAAGCCCAUAUCUUCUGUCCCCGCCAUGAUAUUGCUGGAAUAUUGCUAAAAGCGGUGUAAAACUAAACUCACGCACUCACUCCUCUGAUUUAUAUGGUAGUACAAGCUGUGUUCUUGUAGCUGUCAUCUCACAGGUGACCUUGACUUGGCCAGAACAGUAUAUGGGACUGGUUAUUUAUUAUAGUGGGGAUAGGUCAUUGGGAAUCAGUGGAGGGUCAUAAAAAUAUAUUAUCUUACCUUGCAUGGAAAACACUGUAAUCUGAUUGGACAAUGCCUCAAAGUUAUGGUGACACUAUUUCAAAUUGUUGUGAGAGAAUUAAAACAAUAACUUUAAUUUGUAAAUUUUAUUUAUUGGUAUUUGAUAAGUGUAAAGGUACAUGGAGAGGGUUAUCCAAAUAUAGCAUGAGAGAAAGGUGAUUUUUUAAGUAUGUUAAUGCAUUAUGAACCUCUCACGGAUACAGAGUAAUUGUGAACCAUUACCCAAACUGGGAUAUUCUUAACUUGAAGCUUGUUUCAAGGUCUGUCAUUGUUUUUAUUUUUAUGAUUCAUUCACUCUUUUUUAUCCCAUGGGAAUAGUAAGGUAUAUCACUUCGCUCUGUUCUCAAUGCUUGUGCUAUUAGAAUGCAGUAUGUUGUGUCUGGGAGACACCUAUAGCAAGGAAUUUGAAAACACUUUGCUUUCACAAGUCCUUUUAGCUUUGAGGAGCUUGCCAAAGAGUUUAAGUUUUAGCGAUGAGUCAUGACAUAUUUCAUAUCAUAAGAAAUGAACGUGAGGUUUUAUUUGUAUUUGUUGAUACAUUUCAUAUCAACAGAAUCAAAGGUGAGGUUUUAUUUGUAAUCCCAAAUCUUUCUCCCUAUGUUGACAGUAUCAACCAGUGUCUUGAGUGUAUAAAGUGCUCCUAAGCAACUUGGUGGCGGAGAGAUAAGUGAUAUCAUUGAUAUCACAAUGGCGUCUGAUGUUGAUUGAUUGUUGUGAUAUCUCCGAGCAUAUGUUGCUUGUUUAGGAAGUCAGUUUUAGAUGAUACGUGUUCAAGAUUGUCAGGAUCACAGUGGUUAGGGAAGUUCAGGUCACUGUAAGGGCAGGUAACUCCAGUACUUCAUAUUUACAUUACCUAUAUUAUAUUUUCGUAUAUAUUGUGACUUUAAUAAUACAUUCAAUAAUAUCCAUUCAUUUUAGCAAGUCCAAUCAUAAUUAUUCGUGCUGUGUUCAAGAAUAUCAUUUAUCCUACAUAGUAACUUGAUAAAGAAUUCAGAUUUUAGCUAAAUCAGGCAUUAGUCUGGGCAAGUAUAAGAAGUUAGACACAGAGACACAUGGACACACAGACAGAGAGAGACAGAGAACUGCGUAGAUUGAUGUUCAUGAUUUUGAUCACUGGAUUGUCUGGUGCAGACUUGAUUAUUUACAGACCUACACAAUUUAACUGAAAUAUUGCUGAAUGCGGCGUUACACAUCAAACUAACAAAAACUGAAACACCAAGAACUAUACCUUACAUUUUAAUAAGUAUGCAGGCUCAAACUCUCUCUCUUUCUCUAUCUCUCUCUCUCACACACACACACACACAGACUACAGUGCUGUAUUCUUGAGUGCAUCAAUAUUUCCCCAUUUCACCUUUUAUCUAAAUGUCAAACUGAUGAAUCCAACUGAAUUCACAUGAGCAGAAUUAUUUUUAAAUAUACAAUAUGUACCCAAGGGAAAAAACAGGUACUUUAGUUAUUUCUAUCAUCAAGACUCUCAAAUCAUGCAAAGGUAGUUUUCAUUAGUCUGUAGUGUGAGAACAUAUUUACAGAUCAUUCUACAUGCCGCAGUUCGAGUCCUCCCACUUGCUGUAUUUAUCCUGUAUAAUGUGAGGGAGCUACAUCUGUAUAGUCAGCUGGUUCCUCCAUGUAUAUUGUUCUUGUAGAUAAGCCAGUGAUAGUCUGUACAUACAGUAAAUAUUAUGUCUGUAUAGUUGGGUCUCUCAUGUUUUCAGCUCAAGUAUACGUGUACUCCCAUCAAGUCAUUGUUAAUGUUUAACCUUAAUACAAAGAUAUAUUUUUUGCUCUAUUCAUAUGAUAUUAGUAGGUGUUUUUAUCAAAUCUUAUUGACAAAGGGGAGACAACUCCAUGCUGUGCUUUUCCUAGAAGCAUAAGUUGUGAAGAUAUUUAUUCAUCAUGUUAUGAAAUGUUUGAUAAAAAUAUGACUUAGGUGUUAUUGAUAGCACUAUUAUAAUGUUUUUCAGUUUAGAAGGAAAUAUAAGAAAUAACUUGCAUGCGGUUUGUAAUGUGUCACUUUCAAAUAAGUGUAUAUUAAUUAUCAUAUGAUUUUUCAUUUAAAUAAAUAUGUACGAGUACA